RNAcentral lists this ribosomal RNA (375 nucleotides) under uncultured Alphaproteobacteria bacterium. RNAcentral describes it as "bacterial SSU rRNA". It matches the Rfam family "Bacterial small subunit ribosomal RNA", at positions 9 to 416 of the family's 1533-position model. Lineage: Bacteria; Pseudomonadati; Pseudomonadota; Alphaproteobacteria. The record is from RNAcentral.
GAGUUUGAUCGUGGCUCAGAGCGAACGCUGGCGGCAGGCUUAACACAUGCAAGUCGAACGAUCCUUCGGGAUAGUGGCGGACGGGUGAGUAACACGUGGGAACGUGCCCUUAGGUUCGGAACAACACAGGGAAACUUGUGCUAAUACCGGAUGUGCCCUUCGGGGAAGAUUUAUCGCCUUUGGAGCGGCCCGCGUCUGAUUAGCUAGUUGGUGAGGUAAAGGCUCACCAAGGCUACGAUCAGUAGCUGGUCUGAGAGGAUGGCCAGCCACAUUGGGACUGAGACACGGCCCAGACUCCUACGGGAGGCAGCAGUGGGGAAUAUUGCACAAUGGGCGAAAGCCUGAUGCAGCGACGCCGCGUGAGGGAUGACGGCC